RNAcentral lists this long non-coding RNA (32888 nucleotides) under Citrus sinensis (sweet orange). Its description in RNAcentral is "long non-coding RNA (CSIN_LNC002729)". The record is from RNAcentral. Lineage: Eukaryota; Viridiplantae; Streptophyta; Magnoliopsida; Sapindales; Rutaceae.
AAAUCCUGAAGAUCGAUAAAGUGCCGCGGAUUCUCACUGUUGCUAGAGAAGAUUACUGGGACAAAUACUGUCCAUCAAACUUGGUCGAUACUACUCUGAAUUUCUCUCUUUUUAAUUAUGCUCCCGCCACAGGCAACUUGACUCUCUACUACGGCUGUCCUGCCAACUUUAUGAAUGAUAUGUUAGUGAAGCCGUUGCUGGAUCCCUAUGAGUUCCGUUGCAACUCAGAUGAAUCAAACGCCGCAGAUAACUACUAUUACUCCUGGGAAUUUAGUAGUAUCUUCAAUAACAGCUUAAUUGAGGCCGUGAAAGCUUACCUCGGAACGUGUGGGAAGAGCGUUCUGCUGCCUCUGCAGCAACCAACAGUUGAGUAUUUGGUGAAAAAUCCGGCUUCGGAAAAUCUGGAUAGAGCUCUUCGGGAAGGUUUUGGGCUGCAAUGGUUUGCAAAUAAUAGUCUCUGCGACACGUGUGAACAAUCAAAAGGAGAGUGUGCGUAUUCUGCUAGGACGGGUCAAUUCAAUUGUUAUUGCCCUGAUAAAGCUUAUGCCGAUUCCUGUCCACCCCAAGAAGGUAAGUCCGUUCUCCUGAUUGUUCUGUUAGCAUCUCAGUAAGGAUUCCAUCCAUUAGGUUCAAGGUUACUUAGUUUUAAUUUAACCUUACCCAAUAUUCAUUCAGCAAAAAUUCUUGACUUUUCAUUGAAGUUCGGUAAUUGGUUGAGAAUACUCGACUUAAAUUGAAAUGAAAAUUUUCCUUGUAAUUAAGUCAGGUAAAAAGUCGAGUAUACUCGACUUUGGUUGUAUUAUUAUGUAGAAGUCAUGAGAAAGGAAGUAAAUGUAAAUAAAUAAUUUUUUUAGGUUAUUUUUGACUUUUUAUACUUUUAGGAGGUAUAUAUAUGUAAUGUGGUAUAGAUUUGACAUUUAAGGACAAAUGAGAUAUAUUUAAAUAAAAAACCCACAAAACGGAGCCUUGUGAGCUAUGUCUGUUUGGCAAUUCAUAAUUCUCUCUUUUAUUUUUUUUUAAAUUUUUUCCCCCUAUGUCGGCUUUGACCUAUGCGGUGAUCUAGAAUAUGUCAUCAUCAGCCUACCGUGCUAACCUAACCUAGUAACCAUUUAAUAAUUCAUUUGAUGGGAAUUGUUUUUUUUUUCUUUGUAAGUUUUAAAAUAUUAAACAUAGGCAUCAUUUGUUGACUUUAGUUUCGUUCCAAUGCAACAUGUGAGUUCAGGUAUUCAAUAUUCAACUUCAUACUAUGCCUUCUAAUUUUCAAAUUUCCAAAGCCCAUGGGAAAAUAACCAAACGCGCUUCAUACUCGUUUAGGCCAGCGAAUAUCAGCAUUUGCAGCACGUUCCUUGGAGAUCAAAGCUGAAAUUGACCAGCCCACUUUCUUUCCACAGAAGGUUCCCCCCAUUUUCAUCACCCCCACUUCGUCAAAGCGAAAAAAUUAAUAAUUUAGUAUCACAGAGAAUGAGAAAUUAAAACCAAUUCGUUUCUUCUAAAUUUUAUAUCUAAUUGCUUGCUCUUUCAAAAUGGGACUCCGACUCCAUCUCCAUCUUGGUCCAAGCAUGAUCGGCUUGUUUUUCUUCGUCAUAAAUAUCAUUUUCGUCUAUGUUCCACCUCCUGUGUCCGCCAAUUAUGAGGAAUAUAAAAACUGCAGCGCCCCGUUUCGUUGUGCUAACAGAGACGAUAUUGGUUAUCCCUUCUGGGGAGGAAAUCGUCCAGAAUAUUGUGGCUACCCGGGAUUUGAGUUGAAUUGCGAGGAAGAUUUUCCUGAGAUGAAAAUCUUAAACAUUACUUACAAAAUCCUGAAGAUCGAUAAAGUGCCGCGGAUUCUCACUGUUGCUAGAGAAGAUUACUGGGACAAAUACUGUCCAUCAAACUUGGUCGAUACUACUCUGAAUUUCUCUCUUUUUAAUUAUGCUCCCGCCACAGGCAACUUGACUCUCUACUACGGCUGUCCUGCCAACUUUAUGAAUGAUAUGUUAGUGAAGCCGUUGCUGGAUCCCUAUGAGUUCCGUUGCAACUCAGAUGAAUCAAACGCCGCAGAUAACUACUAUUACUCCUGGGAAUUUAGUAGUAUCUUCAAUAACAGCUUAAUUGAGGCCGUGAAAGCUUACCUCGGAACGUGUGGGAAGAGCGUUCUGCUGCCUCUGCAGCAACCAACAGUUGAGUAUUUGGUGAAAAAUCCGGCUUCGGAAAAUCUGGAUAGAGCUCUUCGGGAAGGUUUUGGGCUGCAAUGGUUUGCAAAUAAUAGUCUCUGCGACACGUGUGAACAAUCAAAAGGAGAGUGUGCGUAUUCUGCUAGGACGGGUCAAUUCAAUUGUUAUUGCCCUGAUAAAGCUUAUGCCGAUUCCUGUCCACCCCAAGAAGGUAAGUCCGUUCUCCUGAUUGUUCUGUUAGCAUCUCAGUAAGGAUUCCAUCCAUUAGGUUCAAGGUUACUUAGUUUUCGUAAGAGUAUUGGGCUGUUGUUAAGAGUCCACUUAGGGUCGAGUUGGAUGCUCUUUCUCCCCGGAACAGAGACCCGUAAAUUUAGACGAUCACAGAAACUUGAAUCUUGAAACAGGUCUCUUCAUCCAACAACAAUAGAUUCGAGUUUUCUUCAUCCAACAACAAUCACAUAAUAAGAGUCCACGCUUAUAGGGUAGAGUUGGUAGGACCUAUGAAAUCGAAUCACUAGUCGUGAAUUUAGUCCUUAAUUGAAGCAGAGACUCAGAGUACGUAAUUAACCACAAGCCAUUAGAAGCUCUGUUGUUCAAGGUUUUAGUAACCUAACCUCAUAGAGAAACCUUCUUGCUUUUUCUUCAAAGCGUUGACAUAUUCAACCCUUUAUCUUCAAAUUCGAUUGCCAAAAGUUUUUUUUUUUUUUUUUAUUCCCUUUCCUUAUUAGUUUGCCUUUGUCGCUUCAAUCUUCGUGGGCCAAAAUUUUUUUUUUUUUUUUUAUUCCCUUUCCUUAUUAGUUUGCCUUUGUCGCUUCAAUCUUCGUGGGCUGCAACAACUCCGGUAAUUUAUUCCAAGUGUGGGGCCUACCUUUGAGAUUACUCUGAAGUCAGAUGUAUUUUAAUUCGGACGCGUUACACGUAGAUCAUGUGCUCACGUAUGACUGGCAUCUAGAAACAGUCAAACAAGUACUGCUAUAAAUGUGUUUGACGGCAAUUAAUUAACCAGAAGAAAAUUGUUUCUUUGAUUUCCAGGGAUUAGGUUUGUGUAGUUAUGUUGGUGGCCGAUUGUCACAUUACAAUGACUUGCUUUGUUGACUAAAUUCAAGAUUGGGGUCGAGGGGUAGUAUUAUAAUUACUUGUGAAAACAAUGGUAGUUAAGCCGCCGGUAACCUAUCGCAUACCAAGUAUUAUCUAAAAAUAUAAUUUCCUUUAAUUUUUAUGAUUUUAAAUCCUUUGUUAAGGUUCCCAAAAACCUCUUUAUGAGAGUUUUUUCUUUAAAUUCCUAUCCUGAACUUUGAUUGAAAAUAUAUCUUAUGUGUUGGGCUUUAAUGGCAUUGUAUAUAAUGUUAAAAAAAAAUUCUAAAUUUGAACUUGUUUGAACUUUUAAAAGAUCUCUGAGCCAUGAGUAUAUGAUUAAAAUUUAAUUAAAUUUAUAUUAUCAUCUAAUAUCUACAAAUGACCUCUUAUAUUUUGUUAAAAAAAAAAAAUCUCAUAUAAGAAGAAGAUCUAGGGCCCUUUUUUAAAACACAGUUUUUUCUUUUUUCUUUUUUUACUACUUAAAAGGAUUAUAUAGAAAUCAUUACUUCUUGUUCUAAAUACUAAUACAGGAGAAACUCUAAAUAUUUUCAAUGCAUACACAAUCUUCACUAGAAUUUUUGCUACAUUCGUCCUUUCAAUGGCAAAAGGUGUACAUUAGGAGUGUCCAAUACUUACUUCUAUUGUAGACGCCUAAAAACGCACAACUAUUUUAGGACAAGAAACCAAGACGUGAUGAGUUCUUAAAAACUGGAAAUUUGAUGUGGCUUAUAAGUAUCCAACUAGAGAUUCAAUUUCUUUUUUAUCCAUUUAUGAACGGAAACUGACAUUUCUGGAUCCCAUGAUUAUUGCAGGGAAGAAUGGGAUCUCAACCGGAGCAGGUAAUAUUUCACUGCAAAAUUAAUAACUAAUUAAAUCUUUUAACCAAAAAUUAGCAGUACAGAAACUCUCUAAGCUACUUCAUUCUCACUCCUCAGGAAUUGGUAUCGCACUUGGAUCCGCUGCUGCUGUUAUUCUGGGACUCAUUUUCUUUUGCAUUAUACGAAGGAGAAGGAAAACUGCAGCCUAUGCUAAAAGCAGAGACCUCAAAACACCUCCUUCAAGUGCAAGCGGAGCUACAGCUACAACAUCAGCAGCAACAACAACAACAACUAAUUCCUCGCAAAGCAUCCCUUCUUAUCCCUACUCAAUAACUGAUCUUGAAAGGGGAAGCUCUUACUUUGGAGCUAAAGUCUUCAGCUGUUCUGAACUCGAAGAAGCUACCGACAAUUUCAACUCAUCUAAGCAACUCGGAGAUGGAGGCUUUGGAGCAGUUUAUCUCGGUAAGAAAAUGCAUCAUUGUAGCAGAAGUUGUAUGCUUGACUUAAUAUAUUAAUGUCGAGCACUUACCUAACAGCUUAAGCUUUAAUCAGGUAUCCUCAGGGAUGGCCGCAUAGUUGCAGUAAAGCGGUUAUACGAGAACAAUUUCAAGCGUAUUGAGCAAUUCAUGAAUGAAGUUGAGAUUCUUACAAAGUUGCAGCAUCCAAACCUUGUCAAAUUAUACGGAUGCACAUCAAGACAAAGCCGGGAGCUGCUCCUGGUUUAUGAGUACAUUCCCAAUGGAACAGUAGCAGAUCAUCUUCACAACAGGCAGCCGAACUCUUGCUUGCUCCCUUGGCCUGUUCGUUUGAGCAUUGCCAUUGAAACAGCUGGUGCACUUGCUUACCUACAUGCUUCAGAUGUCAUUCACCGCGAUGUCAAAUCCAACAAUAUUCUCUUGGACAACAAUUUCCGGGUAAAGGUUGCAGAUUUUGGGCUAUCAAGAUUGUUUCCGACUGAUGUUACACAUGUCUCAACAGCUCCACAGGGGACCCCUGGCUAUGUUGAUCCUGAUUAUUUCCAGUGCUACAAGCUCACUGACAAGAGUGACGUGUACAGCUUCGGGGUUGUUCUAAUUGAGCUCAUCUCAGGGUUAGAAGCUGUGGACACUAGUAGGCACCGGCAUGAUAUAAACUUGUCUAACAUGGCAACUAACAAGAUUCAGAAUGGCGCAUUGAAUGAGCUUGUUGAUCCAUCUCUGGGGUUUGAAAAGGAUUAUGCUGUGAGAAACAUGGUGACUUCAGUGGCAGAAUUGGCUUUCAGGUGCGUGCAACAAGACAGAGACAUGAGGCCUUCAAUGAAAGAAGUGUUGGAGAUUUUGAGGGAGACCAAGGAUUCAAAUCUUGGAACGUCAAAGGCCAAGGUGGUGGAUAUUAGGAUAGCGGAUGAUGCUGCGCUUUUGAAGAAAGAUUCUCCUUUGCUGUCACCAGAUGACUCUGGGACUGAUAAAUGGGUUAGCAGCUCCGAUCCAUCCAGUUCCUUCUAGAGUGUUUCAUCAGAUUUCAGAUUCACUUGUCCUGUUUACGCAUAAAUUCAGAGUUAAUUUGCUCUUGCACUUGACUAUAUUCAGUUAUUAAUACCAGAAAUAUUGUCCAAAGAUGCAAGCUAGGCAAUGUACAUAGUACAUAGAAAUUCGCUAGUAUUUAUUUGUAUCAGGUUUCAAGCUUUUUGGUCAUAAGGUUUUGUAAAGUGGCUGAUCCUACAUAUUUGUUGUGCCUUCACACGUAUGCUUUGAAUGUUGGAUAAUAUUUUUUAAUCAAUUUCUGAUUUUCCUAUAACAAAUUUUCUGUUUCUUACAAAAUGUAAAAAUAGCUUUUGAUUCCUCCCCCCACCACUUGACUCCUGAAUGGCUGACGAUAAAAAGUUGGUCAACUAUAAACCCUGGGAAAUACAUGAAAAAUCUUAUAUAUGAUUUUUAAUUUUUAUUGUUUUCACAGGUGAAGAUAAUGUCACUGUGAUAUUUGCAGAGAUUACAAUGAGCUUGGUCCGGAGGAAGAGGAUUCCGCCGUUGAACUAAGUUGGUUACAUGGCAUUUGCUCAAAUUUGGUGCUGAAAUUUGAGAGAUUUAUCUGAAUGCGGCAGCUAUCAAUACUCGUGGGUUCAUAAGCCCAAUUAAUUUUUCAGAUAAGUAGGCGGAGGUUAUUGUGGCCUCGUUCUCCUUUUUUUUAUAGGCCCACAAUGUCAGGGAAUUAAGUUUUAUUAGAAAAAAUCAUUUUUGAGGGGCAAGGAUAAGAAAAGCCUAAUUUAAUUUUUUUAGCCAUUAAUCACUUUCAAGAUGACUAACUAAAUAAACAUCAUUUCUAAAUUUAUAUUUUAACUAUCAAUCACUUUCAAGUUGACUAACUAAAUAAACAUCGUUUUUAAUUUUAUAUUUAAGUCCUAAAUCUUUUAGAAGUGUUCAAUUGUUAACAUUUUUUUAGUGCCUCUAAUAAGAGAUGUUAAUUUUUCAUGUUGGAAUGGGAUCUUAUGGAAUCUCGUCCCGUUUGAGAUGAAAUUGAGACAUAUUUUUACAUUACAAAUUAAAAUGGGUUAGAACAAGAACAAAAAAUAAGUUCUAUCUUUAUUUGUGGAACAAGAGGAGGACCAACUAUAAAAUCUCGUCCGUCAUGUAUAUCCCAUUAAUAAUAUAAUUUUAAAGCUAUUCUAAAUUUUUUUAAUUAUUUCAUACUUUUAACUUAAGUAAUGUUCAAAGUUGAAACUAAAUGUUAAAAUUAAAUGAUAAAAAUAAUACAAUUAGAAAGUGAAUUGUCAGCCAAAAGCCACAAUUAAAAUUAAAUAUAUUUUUUAUGGUCAAAAUAUAAGUUGGUUACUCUUUAAUUCGAUAAUUUUUGAAGUAUAAGUCUUGAUAUUAAUGUGCAAUGGAAGCAAAUAGACAAUUAAAAAAUAUUAGUAUAAAAUUAUAUUGAAAAUACAUAUAAUAAAAAUGAAACUAUUAUUUGAUUUUUUCUACUUUGUAUUUAUUCAAAAUUUUUGUUAUAUGGAAUUGUGGUGAUCCUUAAAAUAAAUUUUUGUAUUUAUUUAUUUAUUUUUAGAAUUGUUCAAGAUAAUGGGAUGAGACGAGAUUUGAUCAUUUGAACAAUUUUUUCUCUUAAAAGAAUAAAGUGACGAGAAUUAAAUAUUUUUUUAUCCUACUUGUAUAGUCGAGACAGGACUAAAAUUAAUAAAUUAUAUUCUAUCUUAUCCUAUUGACAACCCUACCUUUGACAAGUAGUGGACUUUUAUUGAAAAUACAAAAAUAUUCAUAUUUAAUGUAUUUUCCCACCCAUUUAAAAUAAUCCCAAGAAAGAAAACCAAACACACUCAUCCAAAUCAACAAUUUGUACACACAAAUGACAAACCCCCUUUCAUUUGUCUCCAUAUUUCAUCUAAUUAUUAACUACACCACCAACAUUUUACUUUUUGUUCGCACUUAAAACACCUCCUAUACCUACUAAUACUAUUUCCUUUCAAAAAUGAAACAAAAGAGACAAUGAUAGCAAAUGAUCCAAAUCCGCCACGUGGCACCCCACAGCAUCGACAACUCGACUCCCCUUCAAAAUUAAAUUCCAUUAUUCACUGUUAAAAACACAAAAACAAAACAAAAGAAUCAAACAAACAAAUGUAAAAACGCUGCGUCUCUAAUCUCUCACUCCACUCUCAGAUCUCUCUCUUUCAUUUAAUUUGUGGUUUUUUUUCUCAGAAACUUUCGAUUUUUCGUUAUGGCAACUCUUCAAAAAGUCAAGCUUUUAGCGACCCAGUGCGCCGUCGCCGGCAGCCCCACGAGGAGCCCGACCGCGAGCCCCGUCAUCCACCUCCGCCGCCGCAAGACACUCCGAAUGCUACUCAAUCGUCGCCGAUUUCCUCGCCAGGACAACGACGAUUUGGGCCGGGAAGUCGCCGAUGAGUUACCGGAGAUCAAGAACAAGAAGAUUAGAGCCAAGUUGAAGGACUUGUUCGUCUCGUCGCCGCCGUUUGAGGAGAGAGACUCGGAGAGUAGUGGCAGUGGAGAUAGACAAGGGCUUUUACCGGUUACCGGGACUGUGGGUAGCGGUUCAGCUACGAGGCGAGGCUCGGCCGGUUCGCUUCGACCGGUUUCGGCUACUUUUCGGUAUAGACUUUUGAGAAGAGCUUGGCGACCCAUGCUUGUUACUAUCCCAGAGUAAUUUGUAGAAAUAAAUUAAAAUUAAAGUUGUGAAAAAGAAUGUAUGCAUAAAUUAAAAUUUAGUUUGAUUUUUUUAUUUAGUUUUUGGGUAAAUGAAUAAAGUUUUGGAUGAAGAAAUUAUUAAUUUUGUUUGCUAAAAAGGAAUAUUUGGUCAAUAUUUAUAUGUACUACAAAUUAGACUAGAUAUUUUUGUAAUAAUUUGGUCUCAAAUUUUAAUCGUAUUAAUGCCUAACGAAGAUGUAUAGUGUAUUUUAGGGUAGAGACAAAAAGAUGUGUACGGGCUUAUUUUAGCAAAAUUUUAAGAUUACUAUAGUAUUUAUUUGGUGGAAAUACAACUUUAUUUUAGAUUUAAUGGUUGAGUUAUGUGAAUAAUAAUAAUAAUAAUAUUAUUAUUAUUAUGGGUGGGGGCAAGAAUAUUGAAGGUGUUACAGAUCAUGGAGGCAGCGCCGAGACAAAGAAUUGAGGAAAUUAAUAAUUUCUUAAUAUAAAGCCUGUCGAGUGUCGAUUUUGCAGCUACCAUGUGUUAAAUGUUCAGUAAUGCAAAACAAGUUGGUGUACCUUGUACAUACUACUACAGUAGGACCCAUAAUGAAUGAUUUUUUGGGAAGCAUAGGAUAUGAUCAACUGGUCACACUUGGCAAAGUUUUGGGGGGCUCAAUACUAUGAUGUUGAGCACCAAAUCUUGAUGUGUAAUCAUGGUUGUUAUAAUUCUGUUUACGGUAUGGGUCUUUCUGUAUUCCAAUAGUUCCCUGAAAUUAAGGGUGCUUUAAUCUUUGGGAAGAUGAAGCAUCCCACUUGGGGGAUCUUUGAUUUUUUUUUUAAUUUUGGUGCUUUGAUUUAUAGCUUUAGUAUGGUGCAAGUAAAGGGUAUGUAGGUUGUUCCAAUUGCGCGACUUGCUCUUCAAAAAGUUUAUUGUUGCUACUUUAUUUUUUUCUUUUUCAUUCUGCAUUAAAAAUAAAAAUAAAACGCGUUUAAUGGGUCAAAUUUAAAUCAAUGGGCAGGCUCGGAUCAAAAUUUCAGAUUGAUUGGGACAACAAACUUCUCCACUCACCCAAAACACGCAGAUUAUGUAUGCACUGAAUGUGAAGGAUUGAAUUCAUCGACCUUUUACAAAUUCCAACGGGUUUAGAUAGUGACAUGGUGACUUGAUAAAAUCGAAGUCUUGGUCAAUUCUUCUGUAUCGGCGGCUAUGCACAAGAAUAACAACCAAGUACAGCUGCAAGAAAUUUUCCCGUGCCAGGUUCUUCUUUGCCUUUUUUGGAAAAUGAAAAAUUUAUUCGACGGGGAAGAGAAGAGAGAAUAUUGUAUUAUACUAAAGACUUAAAGCACUUAAGCAUGCCCCGUGUUUAUUGUUUGCAUUUGUCGCUCUGCUUUGGAUCUGCACUCCCAACAUUUUCAUGAUGCAAUUGCAAUCCUUUAAUUUAAAGUGAAAUGCUCAACUCAACAUAUAUAAAAAUAUAAUACAACACACACAUUUCCAAUUUCCAAAUCUCUCUUGACCCCUUUUUUUUUUUUUUUUUUAUCCUAAAAUUCUGUUCCGUACGUUCCUAGCUGCCGACGUGGUUAAAAAUUCCCAAGUACGAAUGGUGACCUUUGACAAUGUCUUCACGGCAGAAUCUCAUGGGCUCUCUCUCUUUCCUCUUCAUUAAUUAUUAUUAUUUUUUCUUAGAUCCUCAAUGGCUUCUUCCAAAGCCAUCUUGGUUUGUCUUGGUAACUCAUUGUUGCUUAUCAUAAACCUUGUUAGCUCGUCGGUAACCGAACUCCCAUCCAUAGCCAAAAUCCUACAUAUGGUUUUGCAAGGCGUGAUAAUGUAUGUGAGAAAUGAAAUCAUAGCCUUCCUAAGCUAGUCUUCAACAAUACUAUAUUUACAAAGCUUUGUCUAUACCCCGUGUUAAUUUAAUGUGACUUCUUAUUUCGUGGUUCAUGUGUUUUUAAAAUGGGUAAAUUUGUCAUAAAAGCACCCUAGGGGAUGAGGCAUUGAUUCCCGGUUGGUGCUUGUUUUUCUAAGAACAACAUGAGACAUGUAUUUAUAGCUAAAAUGCACGCAUCAAUCCCGCAUGUUGCCGAAAUUAAGUUCAUGUCCACUUAAUAAAAAAGUCAGCUCACUGUUAAUGUCACUAAGAUUAAAUUAAGCUAUUUGAUAAUUUCUCUGACUCUGCAGCCUCAUUGAUUACGUUUGUUAAAAUCCAAAUUAAUUAAAAUACUAGAAAUCCAAUCUUACCCAUUGAGUUUGCAAGCAAUGUUUGACUCCACGAAUUGUACGGUGCUCCUUAGACUCAAACUCUCACAAAGCCAGCAACAUUUCUGCAAAUAGUUUUUCUGAAAUUGGUUCUCCGCCAUGCAAAAUUCAGAAUCAAAUUGUAUUAUUUUGGUCACAAUUCUCUUGUUCAGCUUCAUCUGCCGUCUAAUCUUCGAUUCCUGAGCUUGCUUCCUCUCUUCUUCAUUGCAGUAAUAUAUAGCCGAUUUCAAGUGUGUACUUAAACCAAAAUUCUGAAAAAAGAAAAAGAAAAGAGGGAGAGAGAGAGAGGGAGAGAUGAAUAAUCAUCAUUAUGAUGAUUUAUAUGUACAUUAAUCUAUUAACGUGAAAUGCUAAAAUGGAAAAUGAAUAGAUAGAUCAUUAAUUACAAGGUAAUUUCUAUUAGUGGGAUCAUGAGUUUCCCAGAAAAUAUCACAGAGCGAUUUGUAUGAUAUUGUCUGCUUAUCGUAAAAGACUUUCACGGCUUCAGUGUGGCCUGUUAUUCCUUCACAAACCUGUAAUAAUAAUUUAGAAAAACAUAUCAACAAAUGUGUAUUCUGAAUUGGGUUUAAAGAGUUUUUGGCAUUCUUUAACCUUUUUUAUUUUUUUAUUUUAUUUUACCUCUCUAUAUGUUGGUUUUUUGAGGGUGCCUCCGCAAUAACCUGUAGCAGUUCUCAUGACUCCAUUUAAGCGUCCAAAUGCUGCUUCAAGAUCCAAAAAAUUACCUACAAGAACCCACCCAAAUUAAUUCAAAUUAAAACCAAAAUGAAACAAAAAUAGAACACUCGCGAUGAAGAGAAAGUAGACCUCCUGCAAAUACUGCUUCACUGAAGAAAUUUGCUGGUUCAGAGACAGAAACUUGUGAAGUUAAAUUAUCGAAUUGAGGAAGUAAUUUGUACAUGGUGUUGAAAUCAGUAUUGAAUUACGAAAAGGAGUUGCAUGAGCUAAUGGGGUUACGGCUUUGUCUAUUGAUUCGCAUAUAAUAUUUAUAAACUCGAAACAUUGAGAUAUAAUAUUAUAUUUGCAUUUUUUUUUCUUUCAAUAAAGCGUCUGAAUUCGUUUGGAGUUUCCACAUUAGCUGUACAUAUGUAUGUUUGAAUAUGCGAGGGGAGGAGAUCGAAUGCGAUAGGCUGACUUUCAAGAUUUAUGAAUGAAAAAAGACUAAGGUGGCUUUUGUUUUUUUGUCUGAAAUCUGAAUAGACCUGAAUUAGUCUGAAUUUUGAAUAGAUAUGAAUGUCUGAAUCUGAAUAAUAUGUUUGUUUUUUCGUCUGAAUCUCAAAAAAUAAGUAUUAAAUUAUUUAUUUUUUUCAACUUAAAAAGCUGAAAAUAUGUACUUUUAUAUUUGUAUUCUUAUUAAAUUUGCAUGUCAAAUAAAUAAUAUAUUAAAUACCACAAUAUUUUAACAUUUAUAAGUAAAACUAUAUUCAAGUGAAUACAUAAUUAUUUUAGAAUUUUAAUAUAUAAAAUACCAUAAAUUUCAAAUUUUUUGGUAUAUAAUAUAAGAAAGAAAAAACAAGGAUAUUUUUAUGUGGGAUAAAUGUCUAUAGGUGAGUUUUGGAAUAGACAUGAAAAAUAAAUUAUAAAACAUGGAUAUUUUUUACAUUAGUAAGUAAUUGACUUAAUUCAAAUUUCUCCAUUAAGUAAAAAGCCAAAAAAAUUAGCUUAUUUUAUGAAGUCAAAAUUAUCUAAAAAAUCUCAUUAAGUUAAAAAACAAAUGCCACCUAAAUAACAAAUGUAAGAUUUUUUUUUUUUUACUUCUCUCUCAUUCACAUGAAUUUUUAAAAAUUCUAUAUCUCAUGUCUAUGAGUGAUAAUAAUAUAAGAUUGAGAUUUGUCUUUCUCUUAUAUUUUAUAUACUAAUCACUAAUUAUCUACGUAAGUUGCGCUCAUAAGAAAUUACUCAUAUCUAGAAAGUAUUUUGGUCUAAUUUUGACAUUUUUUUUGGAAAGUUCAUUUAUUAGUCUGUUUAAUUUAACUUUUUUUUUUAAUUAUCGAUGACAAAUUAAAUACCAAAAUUUCAGUUUUAUUACAAAAAAUGUCAGUAUCAAGCAGACAAGAUAGACAAUUCCAUGUGGAAUUCUGAGGUCAGCUCACAGCUGCUUGAAACUUGAAUAGUCUGCUGUAUAAAUUUAUUGUUAUAUAUAAAAUCUGACGUUAUUUAAAUUUAUUCUCAAGUAUUGUUAUUGUAUGCGAUUAAUGAAUUUUUCCACAAUACUUCUCCCAUUACGAUCAAGCGAUGGCCUACGGGAUGUCCUUAAUGGGCUUUUCGGGAUUUUGUUGGCCCAAAAAGCCCAUGGGUACUAAAGUCUCGGCUCAGUGGACCGAACACACCACAAACGCACGUCCCCUCGCCUCUCUCUCUAAAACGAUAACAAAAAAAUUAUAUCUCCAAACACUUUAAUUAAGUUUUAAAUAAAAAUUGCUUGUCAGUCUGUUUAACCAAAUCAAUCGAUUCGUGGAAAACACUGGUAAUUAAAGGGUGAUAAUUAAUUAACAUUUGUGUAGCAUCAGGUAUGGUUGGUAGGUAUAAGCUUUUUUUUAAUUUUUCUUCUUAAAUAAGAAAAUUGAUUCCCUAAGAAAAAAAAAAAAGAAGAAGAAGAAAAAGUCAAAAAGUGGAAAAGAGCUUUUUCUAUGAAAGCAAAAGAGAAAAGACAUGCAACAAAAAAGUUAUUGAAAAGAUUAACAAUAGCACCUGUUACUUUGGUAUAUGUAUAUCCUUCCCUUCUAUUGAAAAAAAAAAUAAUUAAUUAAUACAUGAAGAUAAAUCAAAUUAUUAAAUGUUGAAUCUCUAAUAUUACCUCCAGAAAAAUUAUAAUAACACAUAUGUAAAAACAAAAACAAAAAAAAAUUCCAAGCAGAUGAAUCUUUAUACACAUUCUCGUUUCAUUUUCAACUCAAAUAAACAAUUUAUGAGACUUUGAAAUGUCAACACAAGAAAAGAGGAAGCAAAGCUCUUGGCAGCAUGAGCGUCAUAAUUUUGAUGCAUGAAUAUUGAGGCCCUCCCCGUGGACCUCAUUCAUUCUCUUUAUUCUUUUGCCCCUCAUUAGACCCCAAAUAUUUCUGUUUAAAGACCAAAUUUUUUUUUUUCUCCUUUUUCGCCUCUGCAAGAAUUAUUAUAAAAGAUAAACUGUUUCAGAGCAAUGUGUAUAGUGCUCAACAAAGACCUAGUUACAUAAUUUCAAAGGCGCGUGGGUGGAAAUUUGGUAUCAUUAAUUCUUUUUGGAUAUUCCUUUCUAAAGCUACAAGAAAAUUGUUUUAUUUUUUAUUUUUUGUUAUUUUAUGGUUUCUCACGAAGUUUGCCACUCUCACCUAAAGUAAUAUAUUUUAUGGUUUCUAAUAUAUAUCCUGUUUCUAAUAGUUUUUACCAACUUUAAAUAUUAGGUUCUUUAAGCAAGUCUAGCAACAACAUACAUCUAAAGGCUCAUACACAGUACCAGAUCUGGAUCCCAGAAAUGAUGCUCUGAAGGAAUGGAGGAAGAAGAGAAAGAUACAACUGAGGAUUGAGAUCUGGUCUCGUUUCUAAUAUAUAUAUAUAUAUAUUAGAUUCUAAAUUCUUGAUAAUUUAUGAUAGUAUCCAGGGGCGGACGCCAUGUAAGACUAAAGGGUGCCAUGGCCCCCUCUGGGUUUUAAAAUAUUUUGAGAUUUUUGAAUAAAAUAUGAAUAAUUUACACACUGAUCCCUAUACAAUUAAGUUUGGCCCCCCCUUAAAUUUAUAAGUUUAAAUUUGGCCCCCCUUAAAUUUCCUCCCGAGAUCCGCCCCUGAUAGUAUCAAUGUGGUACGAUGAGAGGUAGUGCUAUACAAGCAUUUUGUUUUUGUCCUCCUCCAAAAUGUUAAAUUGUUAGUCAUCUAUCUAUCCAUAGCUACUUACCCCCAUUUUCUUCUUAUUCUUCUUUUUUCUCCCCUAAUUUUUGGUAGAAUGGCAAAAAAUUAAAAUUCCAAAAAAAAAAAAUUGAUACAGGGAAUACAAGAGGCAACCCUAAAUUAUGAGCUACGGGAUGAUUAUGAAACAAAAUAAUAUUUAAAUAAAUCAUAAUAAUUACCUCAUAGUCUCUUUAUUAUAGUUUUUUUAGGUGAAUCAUAUCAUGUAAAAGUUGAACAAGACACCUUUACAUUUACAAGACAAUCUACGAGCAUAUUUUUUUCUCUAUAGAUAUGAAAGCGAGUAAAUUAAAUCAAACGAAAACAAUUUGACAAUUCAACCACCGUUUAUGUAAACACCGUGGCGUGGAAGGUUGAAAUUUUGUGCUCAUAAGGCUAAAGAAUUUCAAACGUAUUUGUGUGAAAAGUCGUAUUUAUAAUUAGAAACCGGUUGGGAUUUUAUUUAUUUGAAAAAUUUGCCCAUACACGGGAGAGUGAAAUUUUUUUAUAAAAUUUUAAAAGAGAGUAGGGUUUGAGGGUCCAGCUAUAUACCUUGCUCCUCUGGCAACAACUGUUGGAUUUCAUCUUGUAUGAUCCAAAGGCCAUAGUUUUAUACACGCGAUACACUCUAUAUAUAGAAACGUGUUACCAUUUGAGCUGACGAAAACGAUGAUGAAUUUAUGAAGAGAGUGAAAAAUGUCAAAAGCCGCGAAAUUAUUAAAAGCUCAAAUUCUUUAGCUGAAUAUUUACUACGAGUUGAGACGGACUCCCAUGUAUCGGUUUUAUGAUCGCUUGAUAUCUUUUUAUUUCAAUCCAACAACAAUCUCCUCGCUCCAAGAUAAACUAAAGGGGCAACGUGACGUGGCCAGAGUUUGAAAGCAUUGUUAANNNNNNNNNNNNNNNNNNNNNNNNNNNNNNNNNNNNNNNNNNNNNNNNNNNNNNNNNNNNNNNNNNNNNNNNNNNNNNNNNNNNNNNNNNNNNNNNNNNNNNNNNNNNNNNNNNNNNNNNNNNNNNNNNNNNNNNUUUUUUUUUUUUUUUUAAUUCCAAAUUUAAUAAAUUCCUCGAAACUUCAAUUAUGAUGAUUGAGGAAGAGAAUAUGCCUUUGAACGGACCCAUUAGGUUUGGCAUUACCCGUACCUUAUCAGGUUUCAUUUUUAUUUUUUUUCCUGAUAAGAGGAUUGAAUUGAAUUAUCCAAUGUGAGAUCCCAAUUAAAAAAUUCAGCCAAUUAGCAUUUGGCAAUUACUCCAAGCCGGCGCGUGCGGACACGGACUGAUUCUGAAAGUGGGGAUCAAUAUUAUGCUGUACAACGGAGUCCCCGGUCCUACAUAAAACAUUACAUCUUCCAUCACCGUACGUGCGGCCUUACUAUAUUGCGACACAUCAUUAAAAUCCGUUACACGUCAGAACUGCACCACCGUAUAUGGACCCCACUCCUACGACAGAAGCAAAUGACGUGUUUGGUUGUAAUUGUAGAUUUUUUUACGUGCUUCUAAACAUUUUUUUUAAUACGUUUGAAUUUAAAAACUUUUUUAUAUUAUUAGUCUUUCAGUAUUUAAUUAAUAUAAAAUUAAGAGUUGUGCUAUAUAUUUUAAAAUUUUAAAAUAAUAUUUAUUAAUUAAAUUGUAGGAUAAUACAAUUAAUUUAUUUAAUAAUUAUUACAUACCACAUUACAUCAUUUAAAAUAAUUGUAAAUAAAAUUUUAAAAUAUUUAUCGUUACCAUAAAAUCAAUAUAAUUUCCUAUUCAACGAUUAAUAUAUUAUAAUAGUACAAACAUUAAAGUUCAAUUCACCCCAAGGUCAAGAUUGGGAAAUGAUUUCCUUUGAUAUUUAUAAUACACAAAACCAAAAAGUAAAUUUUUUAGAAAGAAAACGUUUUCAUAGUAAAAUAGCUUUUGUCUUAAAAGAAAGUCGUUACAACUUUAAACGUGCUUCCUGAAAAACCAUCUAAAUAAAGUUCGCCUUCACCCACAACCGACUCCCCACAGCUACAGUAUAAGAAAUGUUUCGUAUUCGUAAUCUUGACAGACGUCACUUAAUUAAACGUGCACAGUAAUCAUCUUCAUAUACUCGCCCUCAGGAGGAUAUUUCCCAACUUCAGGAACAUCAACUCCCUCUCUUACCAAAAGCUUAGAAGGCAUUUUUGUAAAGUUGACAUUCAAAAACAAUUCUUCAGAUUCCGUUAAACAAUAUUUGACACGUCACUUUCCCAUCUCCUUCCACUCACACGCGCCGCUUCGCUUCACUCACGCGCCACCUCACAAACACACAUCUCUAAGCUCUCAAUUUUUAAUAAUUUUACACUAAGAUCUGGUUAUUUUUAUUUUUAAUUUUUCAUGAGCGAUAGUUAUGUAAUGAGCAGAAGUAGAAGGAGAAUAUUAUUAUCAUGGGAGGAGUUACCUCGACGAUCGCCGCGAAGUUCGCUUUUUUCCCGCCGAAUCCGCCGUCGUACAAAUUGGUGACGGACGAGUCGUGCGGAGGUAGGCUUUACAUUCCAGAGGUUCCGAGGAGGGACAACGUCGACGUUUUGAAGGUACGCACUCGCCGUGGAACCGACAUCGUGGCCGUUCAUAUCAAGCACCCGAAAUCGACGGCCACGGUUUUGUAUUCUCAUGGAAAUGCAGCUGAUUUGGGCCAGAUGUUUGAGCUCUUUGUUGAAUUAAGUAAUCGCCUUCGCGUUAAUCUCAUGGGGUAACUUUAUCUAUAUAAUUUUAUUUUUUAAAAGUUAUAUAUAUAUAUCGUACUAGAUGAAAAUUUUGAGCUUGCUGGAAGAAAUUUAAUUGUGCAAUUAUUUGAGCUUGUAGAAUUUAAUAAUCGUUGCUUAAUUUAAUGAACUGCUAUAAAAGGUUUUUUUUUAAUUAUUAUUGUUAUUAAAAUCACUGGAAGCAUAAUUGAAAAAAAAAAUUGUUCUUUUUUAUUUACUUGAGUUUAUUAGAUUUUUUUUUUGUAAUUUUUAUUUCUUUGUUGGUUUUAGUUUAAUUUAGUUAUUUGGGUUUGAUUAGUGUUCAAAGGUUCAACUGGAAAGCAAGCUCAUCAUGUGAUUAGGUUUCUCCGAAUGCUAGAUUGCUUGCUAGUUGUCAUUGAUUUGAUGGUCGAUCAGUAAACGUUUUUGUUUGCUUGCAAGCGGCUUUAGUUAUAUUAAGAGCAAGGAGGAGCCAAAUUCCGAAUCUCCAGUUUUCUUUUUCCCGGAUUUUCCUUUAAUUUAAUGCUUAUAAGCCAAAAGGAACGUUCCGUUUGUAUGAAGACGAUGAAAAACUGAAAUAAAGAGAGAGAGAAGAAUAUUGUGAGGGAGACUGUAGAUAGCUGGUGAUAGGACCUUUUUUUUUCCCCCCCUCGUUUCUUAGGCUAAAGUUUCUGGUUGAAUACUGUUAGAAGAUUCUCUUUAUUCUUAGGUAAAAGUGUAUAGACAGUAAGAUCUAAUAGCUGGCUGAGAAAGAACAUAGGGCUUCCCCCCUCCCCCCCCUCCUUUUCAUGGCCUAUUGGAAAUUUGGCCCUUAUCUUAUUUGAAUUGAAAAAAAAAAUUGCAAAUAUUAUAUGUGGUAUAAGGAUUUAGACAUCAAUCAGUCACCUUCUAUGAAGAAAUCAUUGGGGACUAGGUUGCCACAUCAUUUAUUUAUUGUAGAGAAGUAUGUUCAUAUUAUCGGUUGAAAAUGGUGAGAUAGUGGCAUUAGUCUUAUUUCUUUAGUGAAAUUAAAAAUUUAAGCAGCAGAUAACUCUUUUUGUUGUAUUACUGGUUUUGGUUGGUUAUCUUAAUAUCAUAUGUUUUAUGUCAUAGUCCGUGAAUAACAGCUUUUGUUUUGUAUUAGUCCAUUCUGUGGGAACUAUGUUUAUUUGAUAUUUUUUGUUUUAUUGUCCUCCAUUGACUUUGCUAUAUGUCAAACUGCUGAAUUUCUGGUGCAAUAAAUCAUGGGGGAUGAAUUGAAUUUGAAGAUGGUCAUCUCAUAUCUGGUGAAAUGUUCUUAUUACAAGGCUCUCAGAAGACACAUGUAUGAAAUAAAAUAAUCUCUUUUAUAACUAGAAUUGUUGUGAGUAAGACAAAAUUGUGAUGUUUUUAUUUUCUGCCUGACUUUUCAUUUUCUCUAUGUAUUCGUGGACUAUGUUCUUGACCCUGUUUCUCAUCAUUUUUAGGUAUGAUUACUCUGGCUAUGGACAAUCAACUGGAAAGGUUAGAUAUCUAGCUUCGCUCUUCCCAAUUGAUAAUGAUGGAAAGAGAGCUUUGACUUAGCUUGUAGCAAUUUUACAUUUUUUUUUCUUUUAUAAUAAGAUAUCCUUCUUUUCUAGAUUCUGAUGAGUUAAGUGUAUUUGUAUUUGUUUAAGUUUCUUUUGCAUUGUUUGAGUUUAUCUGUCAUAUGAUAGUAAUUGUAUGGUUUAGUGAAUUCAAUUGGUCCUGGCAAGAUUCUUUAGUGAGAAGUAUUAAAUUUAUUUCAGUUAAUGCAUACAUUAUUUUACUGUCAGUCACGAACCUCCCAAAUAUUAUUGAAGCAUUUGUCUCCCAAUUUCCUCUGGGAAACUAGGAUGUACUACCUUUAAAUGCCGAAGAACAUCAUUAAUGUAGGAUAAUGUGAAUUAAACUAUUGCUGCAAAAAGGGUGCAGCAUUUUAUUUUUUUCGUUUCCUUUUUCUCUCCAAAAGUAAUUGAUACUAGGAUCCUUGGGACUGCAAAGGCAAGCCAACACAAAUGAUUGAUACAUAUUGAUUGUAUUUUAUUGUUCUAUAAUUCACUCACUAAGCAUGGAAUUGUCUAAUAUUGAGAAAAUAUUGGUAUUUGAAUGUGAAGGGAAAAAUGUGGUAUCCCUCACUCUCACGUGCUUUCUAACUCUUACUGAUUGAUAUCCCCUACUACUAUGAUUCGUAGAACUUUAGAAAGUAUCAAGGAUCUUUCUCCUGCCCUUGCAUUGCUGGGAAGACUGUUGCAAGCUGUGUCAGUGCCUAGAUCAAUUAAAACUUUAAUUUUAUAAGAAAAUCCAUAAAAUUUUGUGCAUAGGACUUGCAGAUGCCUGCAUCUUUGGAUUGUACAAGAUCAUUUGAACUUCUCUCUUGGUUGCUGGUACCUCAAUACAUUUCUUGUCAGUUCUCAAAAAAGAACUCUUGCUAUGACUCCUAUUUUCCAAUAGCAGGCAGUGUAAAUAGUUUUCACUAUAGUCCUCCCGUGCGAAUGACUAAUUUUUUUUAAAGAGUUAUUAAAAGACAAAAAAUUGAGAAUUUAGAGACAUUGAUUGUACAGCAAAAACUGUUAUCCUAAGAGUUGGACAUCAGCAUUUUUUAAAAUUAUCGCAGGUGUCUGCACCUGGAAUUCCAUAUAUAUAAUAUUUUUGGCAAAAGUUUUGCCAUAUUGCUCACAUAUUAACCAUUGCCUUUUUGCUUUGAAACAGCCGACUGAAUGUAAUACAUAUGCAGACAUAGAUGCAGCAUAUAAGUGCCUCAAGGAGCAGUAUGGAGUUAAAGAUGAACAAUUAAUAUUAUACGGUCAAUCUGUUGGUAGUGGACCUACUGUUGAUCUUGCUUCGCGCUUGCCAAACCUGAGAGGGGUAGUUUUGCAUAGCCCAAUAUUAUCUGGUAUGAGGGUAUUGUACCCUGUCAAGAGGACAUAUUGGUUCGACAUUUACAAGGUGAUUUAAUAGAAGUAAUGGUAUUCCAUAUCCAUGCUUAAUUUUGCAGAUGCAAGCUUAUGUAAUUGAUUCUUUUGUUUUUAUUAUUAUUUAUUUUCAGAAUAUUGACAAAAUCGGCAUGGUGAACUGUCCUGUUAUGGUUGUUCAUGUGAGUAUCAUUUUUCUUCAUUUCUGUUUUAAGUCUCAUAAUGUUUUUUGUCGUUUUCUCUCUGGUGUUUGUGCACGAGCACACGUGGGUUUUGGACAUUAAUGUAACAAAAUAGCUGGUACUUUUGGCAUUAUUUUGCAUUAAUUUGCUCAACUAAUGUGGUCAACCUAGCAAAGCAAUAGCUUUGUCUGCAGUUACUAAUUUCCAGACUGCUUGUCAUAGGAUAAACGCUCCUCUGGAACUAAGCCACAUAAGUUGAGCCUUGUUACGAGAGCUUGAGAGUGUGUGUAAGCAUCAAAAUCCUAAAUGUUUCUGAGAGCAGGAGUGUUUUUGCAAGUAUUAGUAGUUUUGUUGCAUUGAACUAGAAAUUUAGAAACUCUUCUAUUUGUUAUAUACCUUAGCUUUUCUCUCUAUUUUUAUUUUAUUUCAUUUUUUUCCCUUAAAAAAAGUCAAAUCGGUUUGAUUUUCUUCUUCUUAAGAGUGUUAGAGCUAUAUAGCACUUCAUCAUCAUAGCAGUUUUGUUGGCAUAAAGUUACUUUUCUUUCAUCUUCAGGGAACUACAGAUGAAGUUGUUGAUUGUUCUCACGGGAAACAGCUUUAUGAACUUUGCAAAGUAAAGUAUGAACCUUUAUGGAUAAAUGGAGGAGGACAUUGCAAUCUUGAACUUUAUCCAGAAUUCAUCAGACAUCUGAAGAAAUUUGUGUUAUCACUUGGGAAAUCUAAAACAGCAACUAAUGCUUCAAAAAAUCCAACGGCAGACUCUGCUAAUCAGAGCAAAACGUCUGACAGUGGUCCAUCAGAUACUUUCGAAUUGGGUGCUGACCUUCCCGAGGUUUCUAGAAACAGUUUAGAUAGUCGACUUGAGAAGUCUAAGAAGUCAAACAAGCCGGAAAAGUCUCGGAUGAGCACUGACCAUGUUGAUAGGUUUAGGAGAAAGAAGCGCUUAGUGUGGUAAAUACUUAUACGAGGAACAUCUUCAAUAAGUUAUAAUCACCUAUCCUGCUGGGAACGUAAGUUAGUUUUGGCACUGCUCGUGUAAUGUUUCUUCGGAUCCAGCAUAAAAUGUCAGUUUUGAGUGUGAUUCUUUCCAUAAGUGUUCUAAUUUUUCUGUAUGUACAAGUCAGAUUAAGCGAAACCUUGCAUUUUAAUUUUUUUUUGCUGUAAAAACAACUGUUUCAUUUGAUAAAUGGGGGGGAAAAAAGUCAAAGUAGUUUCAACCAAUGUCUCUUGUUUAUUGGAAGACCAAGGAAUUCUUCGCUGACCACGGCCAACCGUGGUCGUUUCCGGAUCUUUGUAUUUUAAUUUUAGGGCAAGAUUUUUAAUCUCUUCGGGAUUUGUUAAUAAGUAAGAAUCAUCAUAACAGAUUAAUUGUCAUUAAAUGACAUAAAUCAAACAGGUGUAUCAUGUAUGCACGGGGCAAAAUCAAUCUCAAAAGGAUGGAUCGAUGAAGGGGUAUUUUUCAGCUCCAUCUUCUUUAAAAAGAUCCUCUUUAAGUAGAGAACUAGUAAAAUGAAUAUCAAAUGGGCAAAUCUUGAACGAGUAAUGGGUAAUGAUCGCCUCUUCCAUGAUUAAGCGUAAAUGCAACACAGUGAAGCCAGUUGUUUUUUAUUCGAAAUUGCUGGGGAGAAAGCACUCCGAAACACACUCAAUAUUUUUUAAUUAGUUUCAACUUUUGCACCCCAAAUUUUACGAUAAACGAUUGACGCUAAGAUGAUCAGGCUGACAAUUUUCUACUAUCUUUCAAGUGUACGGCAAUUUUUAAGCGUACGAGUUAGAAUCAAUUAGUCCAUCAAUUGCAAGUAGUUAAUAAUGCUGACUGCUUUUACAACUCAUAUUCACAUCUCUAAUUCUCUUCCGUGAAAUUUGGUUGGGAAUGGAAAUUAAGAGGAGAAGACACUUUCUGUUUGCAAGGUUUUCUUACUUCCGUUGUCGUGAUAAAUGCGUGCGUUAUCAACAACGGACUCAAGGUUGUGACAAGAAGUUUCAUACUAUCACUUUUAUAUUACAAGGCAUUUAGCUUCACAUCAAAGAGAGAAUGAUGUAAAAUAGUUGUAGCUUGCCUUUAUUCAAGAAAAGUUCACGUGUUUCCGAUUCAGUAAUUUCCUAACUUGCUUACAGUUGAGAUUCCAUAAGUGAAUGGUUGGUAAUCAGAUAUCAUACUUGUUUUAUUUUUCCAUAGCAGACUUUUAUUUUUCCGUUUGUAGCGAUAAGUGCUCUAUUAAUAAUGGACUCAAGGUCGACUGAGGAUAAUAAUUCAAUAAAUAAACAGAUAAAUAAAUAAAUUCAGGUCUUGAGGUCAACUGUGCAAAAAUCUAAGUCUUUCUAUUACUUACCUUGAAUUUUCUUCCUGAGACGUGAUAUAACUCUUUCUUCUGUACUGCCGCUAAAACAACUGACCUAAACUAUAUACUCACACUAUUCCACUAGAAAUGGGUUUCCAGUUUUCCUGGUCAGGACUGCCUUUAAUUUCUCUACUGUGUUCCCUAUCAGUACUAGUUGUUGACAAGAUUCAACCAUCUUUAGCCAGUCCUGAGUUGGCCAAAGUUUGCAGUCUUCCAUUCGGCUGUGGGAAGAUAAACGCCGGUUAUCCCUUCUGGGGAGGUGCCCGCCCUGAACUUUGCGGCCACCCUAUCUUUGAGCUCAAGUGUGAGAAUGAAACGCCUACCAUGAAGCUUGCAGAUGUAACGUACCGUGUGUUAAAUGUCAAUACGAAAGAGAAAGUCAUCAAGCUUGCAAGACAGGAAUACUUUGAAGGGUUAUGUCCGCAGAGUAACACCAUCAUCGAUACAUCACUUUUUGACAUCUCAGAUGGGUACGAGAUGUUUAACCUAAUUUAUAGCUGCCCGAUGUUUUCACGAAGUUUCACUUGCAAUAUGAAGGAUGUCAACAAUUACCUGGAUGGCUUCGUACAAUUCACAGGCGGUAUUCAGUUUCGUCCGGAUUGUAAUACCACUGUUACUGUUGCGUUUUCUAAAGCUUUGUUGGCAGCCAAAAGGGGUAAAUGGGUCCUACAAAAAGCCCUGGAAGAAGGAUUUGAGAUGAAGUGGAAGCUGUUCGGUUGUGAGGAGAGUUGCAGCAGUUGUGGUUUUGAUUUUUUUAAUCGUAAAGGAAUUUGCUACUGCUCCGGUGGCCAGCUUAAUAGCUCAUCCUCUGGAUGUUCAGCUCCAUCAGCCGCCUCAAAUUCAGAAGGUACGCUAGCUUGCUCCUCAGCUUUUAGUUGUUAUGCAAAAAUCAGUACCAAACAUCAACUAAUUCAAUUACAUUAGCUAGUAGAUGUUCGGCAAUCGGAAAUUAAAAAAUCAUGCGUUUGAUGAAAUGCAUACAUCAGAAAAUAUUAAGACUGGCUACGAGACUACGUCGUUUAGGAUGAUCUGUAAAAGCAUUGUGAUUGGCUGCGUUUGUUAGUUUGUUUUGGAUUCUUUUUUUGUCAUUUUCUGUUGCGUUGUCAAAUUGGUUAUUUUCGAUUGUCUGUUAUAUAUUGCGUGAUCGGUCAUUUUGGGAAGGCAUGAAAUGAAUGGACCACUUUUCUUUCUCUCUGUGACUCUUCUUCUUUUCUUCUUUCUCAUUUCUCAACUUCCAGUUCUUUCCUCUGGAGCAAACACUCGCUCGAAGUAGUGAUAAUUUUGAUAUUGCUCAGUUUCAAGAAUUAAGAGCGUAUCAAAGGAUGUCAACAAUUACCUGGAUGGCUUCGUACAAUUCACAGGCGGUAUUCAGUUUCGUCCGGAUUGUAAUACCACUGUUACUGUUGCGUUUUCUAAAGCUUUGUUGGCAGCCAAAAGGGGUAAAUGGGUCCUACAAAAAGCCCUGGAAGAAGGAUUUGAGAUGAAGUGGAAGCUGUUCGGUUGUGAGGAGAGUUGCAGCAGUUGUGGUUUUGAUUUUUUUAAUCGUAAAGGAAUUUGCUACUGCUCCGGUGGCCAGCUUAAUAGCUCAUCCUCUGGAUGUUCAGCUCCAUCAGCCGCCUCAAAUUCAGAAGGUACGCUAGCUUGCUCCUCAGCUUUUAGUUGUUAUGCAAAAAUCAGUACCAAACAUCAACUAAUUCAAUUACAUUAGCUAGUAGAUGUUCGGCAAUCGGAAAUUAAAAAAUCAUGCGUUUGAUGAAAUGCAUACAUCAGAAAAUAUUAGAACUUGUUUGUAUAGAGAAUAAGUUAGGCCGUUCUUUUCGAUCGGUGUCACUGUUAAUACAUAGGGAAUGGUUUCAUAGAAUGCACGCAUCAGAAAUUAGAAAUUUAACUUUAUUUUGUAUACAGAAUAAGUUGGGCCGUCAAUUUCGAUGUCACUAAUCCUCAAUAUGGUAUUCCUCUUGUUAAAGAUUUUUCAAUCCGAUGACAUUUGUUAUACAUACGGAAUGGAUAAGUUUGGCGGGUCUUUGCGAAUAAUGCAAUUUUUUCUUUCUUUUUUGAGCAUGAAUAAUGCGAAAUUAGGCCAAUAAUAAACAUCUUUAUUUAUAUAUAACUCAUUUUUAGCUCGAUUUAACUUAGAAGGCCAUCAGCAGCGGCGAUUCCAUUCAAUAACAUACAUAUAUAUAUCUGAUCACUAGUUGAAUUGUAAUUCUUAAAUGAUAUUAGGAUCUAGUUCUCUGUUUUUCGAAGGCAAUACUUUCUCGUAUUGUAGAUGCCUUAAAACGCAUAGACAUAACUGUUUUGGACAUAGCCUCAUUGCACAUGGACAUUGGCACAUUUUGGUGGUUGAAAUAUCUGAACAACAUGAAAUUUACUCCCCCUGCUAUGGAAUUGUAAGGACGAGAUCGUUUGCUUCAAAUGGGAGUUAGAAGGUUGCUUAUAAGUAUUCAAUUAGACAUUUAUUCUCUGUUAUUUAUUUAUCCGAACUGACAUUUUUGGAUGUCAUGACCACUGCAGGGAAUACUGCAGGGAAUAAGAUAACAAUUGGAGUAGGUAAAAUUUCUGUAUCUGACAGCUUGUUUUCCGUGUCAGUAGCAUUGUCAACUAUUGCUUUGUAGGGAUUUUUGUAGGACAGUUCUAUCAACAUUAUUCAGUCACAACUGUGAAUGCAGGAAUUGCAGUGGCGGGUAUAGUAGUUAUCCUGGCUAUUCUUCUUAUAGUUGGUCUUCGACGACUUCGGAAUAAUAAAACAGAGAAUGAUCGCAGCGCAGAGGCAGCUUUUUUUAGGAAUUACGUAUCUCUUGCUCCAAAGAGAUAUAAUUAUUCUGAUCUAAAGAGGAUUACGAAAUCAUUCAGCGACAAACUUGGUCAAGGGGGCUAUGGUGGUGUUUACAAAGGAAAGUUACCUGAUGGUCGUCUUGUAGCAGUGAAGGUCUUGAAGGAAUCCAAAGGUAACGGGGAGGAAUUCAUCAACGAGGUUGCCAGCAUUAGCAGAACAUCGCAUGUUAACAUUGUUACCUUUCUGGGAUUUUGUUAUGAGAAGAAGAAAAGAGCUCUAAUUUAUGAAUUCAUGCCUAAUGGCUCUCUGGAUCAGUUUACAUAUGAUCAAGAAUCUUCAAAUGGAAACCGCACGUUGGAAUGGAGAACAGUGUAUCAAAUUGCAGGUGGUAUUGCCAGAGGACUAGAGUAUUUGCAUAGAGGUUGUAACGUAAGGAUUGUGCAUUUUGACAUUAAACCUCACAACAUUCUUUUAGAUGAAGACUUCUGUCCGAAAAUAUCUGAUUUUGGGCUGGCUAAACAAUCCCAAGACAAAAAGAGUACCAUCUCAAUGCUGCAUGCAAGAGGCACCAUAGGGUAUAUUGCACCAGAAGUAUUCUGCCGAAGUUUUGGAGGAGCUUCUCACAAGUCCGAUGUAUAUAGCUAUGGAAUGAUGAUUCUUGAAAUGGCUGUAGGAAGAAAGAAUGCGGAUGUCAAAGCAUCUCGCAGCAGUGAUAUAUAUUUUCCAAAUUCAAUAUACAAGCAUAUUGAACCAGGGAACGAUUUUCAACUUGAUGGGGUUGUCACCGAAGAGGAAAAAGAGUUGGUGAAAAAGAUGAUCUUAGUGAGCUUGUGGUGCAUUCAAACCAAUCCAUCCGACAGACCAUCAAUGCAUGAGGUUUUGGAAAUGUUGGAAAGUAGUACGGAAAUUUUGCAAAUUCCUCCAAAACCUUCUCUGGCUUUGCCAAAAAAAUCAGCCAUACAGUCUUCUCGGACAUCAUCAUCAGCAGGGAUCGAGGAAGUCAUGGGUGAAAUGUAUUAAUCAAGCUUGUACGACAGUCUAUCCCAGCAAUGAGCUAAGCGCAGCUGCUAAUUUUAACUAGUUAAAUUUGUGUUCGAUGAUUAAUACAUGAAGAGAAUGCUCGUAAGUUAUAAGCCAAUUUGAUAAAUCAAGUUUGUAUAUAAAUUGAGCCUUAAAUUUGUGUUCGAUGAUUAAUACGACUGCCCGCCGGCUCAGAGUGAGAUUUCUACAAUGCUGCUUCCUUAUCAAUUUAACUGCAGCUUAAAUGAAACAAUGGCGAACAAUUACUAUUUCACAUGGAACUCCAGUAUCACUCCUACUACAGCAGCCAUUUUACCUUACUUGGAAAGUUGUGGUGAGAGCGUUGUAAUUCCAGUAUGGCAAUCAACAGCUCGAGCCCUGUUGACAAGUCCGAAUUCAAUAACUCUCUCUGAAGCUCUUAAUUUUGGUUUUGGGUUGAAAUGGAAUGCUAAUAAUAGCUUGUGUGAUCAAUGUGAGCGUUCUCAAGGGGUGUGCGGACAUGACGACGGCACGAUGCAGUUCAUUUGUUAUUGCCCUGAUCGCCCUUAUCCCUUCACUUCUCCGCCGAACCAAUCGCCUACAGGUUUGUCCAAAUCCGAUCUCUAUGUUAUGUUGUUGCAGAAAUUCUAGGAUGGUAUUGUUUUGGUUUUUUAUUUCCUUUUCAACUUUUUUUUUUUUAAUAAAAACUACAGAGGAAACAGGGUGAUCUUUGGUUUAUCUUACUUCUGUAACUUCUAAAGGAAGUCGGAGGAAAAGUUCACCAUUAAUUUCAUGGGACCCCUAUGUUGCCCUAUCUUUUGGGUUGUCCGCUUAUCAAUUUUCUCUUUUUCACACUGCACGUUCUUGACUUUGUACAGGUCUCAGAAUAAUAGUACAAGUAAAUGAGGGGAAUUAGAUUUCGUCGUUAAAUCUCCAUACAUUUUUAGGUUCCAUUUCUAAUGUAUGUAUUUAAAAUCCCAGUAGCUCCUAGAUUAUAAUAUACUAUUACAUAGAUUGUAGCUACUAAAGAAAAUAUAUCAGAAGUUUUAGGGGUUAAUGGACAAGUUUGAAAUCAAAUAUUAUAGAUUACCUUUCUUGUUUUAUUAUUAUGUUCAUUAAUAAUGUCUCUUAAGUUGUUAUAUGGGGUUGAGUGUAGACUUCUCCUUUCAUUAGUGGGUAGAGAAUUUAUUUUCCAGUUGUGUCAUUGUCGAAUAAAUAAAUUUCAACACUCAGUUAUGUAAAUUUGGUAUUGCAGGAUCGCUCAAUCUCAACUUGCCCAAAAAAGUUGCCAUAGGUAAUAUGAUCUUCAAAUAAUUAUAAAUUAGUAAAUUAUAUCUGCACCAUCUUUAUUUCGUCAUAUAUAUAUCUAAUCACUUCAAAAUUUAAACAUAUUGUUUACACCACCUUUGUUUUUAAGUUUUUUAUUAAUAAACCACUUUAACACUAUAAAAUGAUCAUUUUACCCCUAAAUAAAUUAAAAGAUCAUUUUAUUUAAUAAAAUUUUAAAAAAUAAAAAAUUAUAAUUACAAAAAUACCCCAAAAUUUAAUAAAAUAAAUAAUUAUCAAAUCCAAUAUAUUAAUUUUUUAUAAUUAUAAUUUCAUUUAAAAAUUAUCAAGUUAAUUUUUUGUAAUUAUAAUUUCAUUUAAUUUGUAUAGGGAAGUUUCUCAAUAUUAAUUAUUCAAAAAUUUACAAUAAUUAUAAGGAGUUUUUCUCCUCAUAUUAUUUUUUGUAAACCUCCCUAUACUUAAUUUAAUUACAAAAAUUAAAUGAAGUUAUAAUUACAAAAAUUAUAAUUAUAGGAUGUUAAUUUUUUAAAAUUAUAAUUUUAUUUAAAAAUUAUCAUCUUAUAUUUUGAGAUUUAUUCGUUUUAUUAAAUUUAGAGGUAUUCUUACAAUUAUAAUUUUUUAUUUUUUAAAAUCUUAUAAAAUAAAAUAAUUUUUUAAGUCAUUUAGGGGUAAAUUUAUUAUUUUUAUUGUCAAAAUGAUUGAUUGAUAUAAAUUUAAAAACAAAAAUGGUGCAAAGAAUAUGUUAAAAUUUGAGAUAAUUAGAUGUACAUAUGACAAAACAAAGGUAAUACAUAGAUAAUUUACCUUAUAAAUUUCUCCUAAUUUUUCUAAUAGGCCCAAUAUGUUUUUUGAAAUUAGCCGAAAUAAUUUCAUGCAUCAUUUGUAAAAACACAUUUCUCAUAAGUCAUAACGUCACUUUGAAUACAGGGGUUUUGUCAGGUGUUGUUGGGAUUGGGGUAAUCUCUGUUCUCUUUUAUAUGCACGGGAAACCCAUUUUCUUUUUGAAGAAACAAACGCAGAAUGAUCAAGAUGUCGACGCAGUAAUAAGAAAGUACGGCUCUCUAGCCCGGAAAGGUUACAACUACUCUUUUUUUUUUUUUUUUUUUUUUGACCACAUAAUACAUAGAUAAUUUACCUUAUAAAUUUCUCCUAAUUUUUCUAAUAGGCCCAAUAUGUUUUUUGAAAUUAGCCGAAAUAAUUUCAUGCAUCAUUUGUAAAAACACAUUUCUCAUAAGUCAUAACGUCACUUUGAAUACAGGGGUUUUGUCAGGUGUUGUUGGGAUUGGGGUAAUCUCUGUUCUCUUUUAUAUGCACGGGAAACCCAUUUUCUUUUUGAAGAAACAAACGCAGAAUGAUCAAGAUGUCGACGCAGUAAUAAGAAAGUACGGCUCUCUAGCCCGGAAAGGUUACAACUACUCUUUUUUUUUUUUUUUUUUUUGACCACAAGGUAUUUUGGGGAGGGCCCCAACUGUGGGAGGCACCUUUAAACCCGUAUCACAACUCAGACUAGAAGUUUCCGCUCGAAUUCCGCUCGAACCAAGAGGCACAAGUUCUCCCAAUAAAGAUGACUUCCCUGCAACUCGAACUGGGGAAUAAAUCCAGUCAAGCCACUUAAGGGGACUUCAUUGCCAAUGGAGCCAACACUUUGUUGGUAGGUUACAACUACUUUGAUGUAAAGAAAAUGACCAACUCGUUCAGUGAUAAAGUAAGACAAGGAGGAUACGGAGUUGUGUACAGAGGAAAGCUACACGAAGGUCGCGUUGCUGCAGUAAAAGUCCUUAGCGAAUCCAAGGGGAAUGGAGAAGAGUUCAUCAAUGAAGUUGCUUGCAUCAGUGGUACUUCCCAUGUCAACAUAGUCACUCUUCUUGGUUUUUGCUGUGAAGGAAACAAAAGAGUGAGUUUAUGCCCAAUGGAUCUCUUCAUAAAUUCAUAUACGAUAAAGGAUCUAUGAGCACCAAAAAUAACCGCCUGGAAUGGACAACACUAAGCGAGAUUGUGGUUGGUGUUGCUCGAGGGUUAGAGUGCUUGAUCGCGGUUGCAACACUGGGAUUGUGCAUUUCGACAUAAAGCCUUGCAACAUUCUCUUACAUGAAGACUUCUGUCCGAAAAUUUCUGAUUUUGGUCUGGCUAAACUGUAAAAAGAAAGAAAGUAUAAUCUCAAUGCUGGACGCAAGAGGGACUGUUAGUUAUAUUGCUCCAGAAGUAUUUUGCAGAAAUUUUGGAGGAAUUUCUCACAAAUCCGAUGUCUAUGGCCUUGGAAUAACGGUUCUUGAAUUGGUUGGAGUAAGAAAUAAUACUGCUAGUGGAGUAACACACACCAGCAGUACUGAAAUGUACUUUCCAGAUUGGAUUUAAAAGCUACUUGAACCGGGAGAGGAUCUAAAACGUCAUGGUCUCGUAACCGAAGAAGAAGAAGUGAUCGUGAGAAAGAUGAUUAUAGUGUGCUUGUGUUGCAUACAGACCAAUCCAUCAGAUAGACCAUCAAUGAAUAAGGCUGUAGAGAUGCUGGAAGGUGGCCUUGAAACUUUUCAAGUUCCUCCAAAGCCGUUCUUGAAAUAAUCUUUCACAAGAUCAAUUCGACAUUCUUCCAUGACAACAACUCCUCCGUCAUCGAAUUCCAUCACAAACUCUCUUAUUGUCUUUGAAACUUAGAAGUUUGAUGUUCUAUCAUUGGGUUCAAUUUGUAAGAUUUAAUUCCAUUGGUAAGAAGUAAUUUGUUUAAGAUAAUCUUGGGUUCGAGUUUCCAUGAAUACGUGAAUUAAUAAUUAAAAAUAAAAUAAAACUGUAAGAUCGUUUUUUAAUUAUUAAAAAUAAAAAACAAAUAAGAUCUUUUAGAGUGGCACAAAGAAUUUUGUAUUAGAUCCAAUUAUCAUUGGGUUAAAGGAGUUUUGGUUUAUAAUAAAUGUCCAUGUUCUAUUUAAAAAUUUACAAAUUAAAAAAAGAGUCCUCUGAAGUUUCAUUGAGCAAGAAAUUAUUUGUUCAUAAUUUUAGUCAAUUUGAAAUAAAGUUUUUUAAUUAAAAGAUUCCAACGCCACCUAUUAGUAAGCAAAAUAUUCCAUCUUAUGCCUCUUGAGUUACUUUCCUUUUUAUUACUUUCUUUGCGUGCUUGCAAUUGGCCAAUUGAGAUUUUUUUUUUUAAUUGUGUAUUUGGUCUUCCAAGGAAAAUGCUUAGUGGCUAGAAUCGCGAGAGAAGGGCGAGGGAAACGGCAGCUUGUGCUGCCGUUUCUCCCUCCACUAUCACACGCAUUUUUAGACAAAAAAAUUAAUAAAAAAUUUCUGCACUAAGAAAACAUAAAUAAAGUAAAAAGUUAUGGCAACGUGUGGGAAUAAUAAUAUCUGUGGCGCCAUUAUACUUAGAAACAAAAAGCUUUCCUUUUCUUCUAAGCUUUUUGACUCGUUUUGGUUACCCAAAUCUCUCCCUUCUCUUCAGGGUAAUUCCCUGCAUUUAUUCUUCCUCUGUUUACACUCUCCUUAUUAUUUUUGGUAGAUUUGUCAUUGUUCUAUAUUAAUGCGUGUAAAAUUUCUAUUUUUGUGGAUUUUUUGUUUCUUUUACAAUCUUGCUUAUUUGCUCAUCCGAAUGGAUGAACAAAAUGUUAUUGGAGGAGAUAACCAACUGGUUCGCUGGGGGGGGAGUUGUUAGCUUUUGAUUGACUCGAUGUUUUGAGAAUAAAGAACCUCUGUUUCUAUUGUAUAACAUUAAACGGAAAAAGGCGUAAGCUUUUACGAAUAAAAAUUCUUACUUUUACAAUGUACUUACUUUUUGUGACAAUAUUUUUCUGCUUUGAUUUUGUUUUGGAAGAAAGCCUGAGAUAAGUGAUGUCAAUUAGCACAAGUAGAAAAUGAUAAUCUAAUGUUUUAUGUGUCUUUCUUUCAUAGUAUAUGGAAAUUAUGUAUGAGUGCAUGAGUGAGAGAGAAAUCAUGAAAUAAUAACUUGGGCGAUGACCGUGUCGUCGUCGGCGGUCAUGUUAUCGGCAGUGGUACUGUUGAGAGAAGGAAGAAAAUGGCGAGGACGGACAGGAGUGGGGUGAGAGUGGAUAAGCUGAUAUAGUUUUCAAUUUUAUCAGCAUUUUUCUAUUAUCUUUUAUUAAUUUUUUUAAUUGUUUUUUUCUUUCUUUAGAAGGGCGCAUGAUAGUGGCGCCGUUUCUCUUGCUCUUCUUUCACCUUUCUAGCCGCCUGGCACGACUCUUUCUCCAAUUGAGAUUCAAGAGAAUGGCUUAAAGACUUUUUUUAAAAAUAGUUAUUUAAUACAAGAUAAAAAUUUUUAAUUAAAAGAUUCCAACGCCACCUAUUAGUAAACAAAAAAUUCCAUCUUGUGCGUCAAGAGUUGCUUUCCUCUCUAUUACUUUAUUUGCGUUCUUGCAAUUGGCCAAUUGACAUUUUUUUCCUUUUUUUUUUUUUUUGGGUGCAUCCGCCAAUUGAGAUUCAAGAGAUGGGCUUUAAUUAAAUUUUUAAGAAAAAAAUCAGUUAUUUAAUACAAGAUAAAUUUAACGUGAAUGGAAAUACAUAAUGCUAAACUAAAGUCGCUAGGGUAUUUGGGUCAUGAUGCAAAAUGAUUACUGGUCAAAUUUAUAGCCUUUGAAAAUUUGACAAGUUCAACUCUGACGCUACUAAUACAAACUACCCACCCAAAUUGCCACCCGCCCACCCGUAUUCUUGGGUCAACCAUGCCAAAAUUAAGUCUUUGUAUUACUUUCCAUGAAUUUUCCUCUUGGGAAGUGAUGCAACUCUUUCCUACAUACUUCUAUCACAAAGAACGAGAAAUUAAAACAAUUCGUUUCUUCUAAAUUAUAUAUCCAAUUACUUGCAAGUGUCUCAUGCUCUUUCGAAAUGGGACUCCAUCUCCAUCUCCAUCUUGGUCCAAGCAUGUUCGGCUUGUUUUUCUUCGUCAUAAAUAUCAUUUUCGUCCAUGUUCCACCUCCUGUGUCCGCCAAUUAUGAGGAAUAUAAAAACUGCAGCGGCCCGUUUCGUUGUGCUAACAGAGACGAUAUUGGUUAUCCCUUCUGGGGAGGAAAUCGUCCAGAAUAUUGUGGCUACCCGGGAUUUGAGUUGAAUUGCGAGGAAGAUGUUCCUGAGAUUAACAUCUUAAACAUUACUUACAAAGUCCUGAAAUUCGAUGAAGCAAGGCGGAUAAUCACUGUUGCUAGAGAAGAUUACUGGGACCAAUACUGUCCAUCAAACUUGGUCGAUACUGCUCUAAAUUUCUCUCUUUUUAAUUAUACUCCCGCCACAGGCAACUUGACUCUCUACUACAGCUGUCCUGCCAACUUAAUGAAUGAUAUGUUAGUGAAGCCGUUGCUGGGUCCCUAUGAGUUCCGUUGCAACUCAGAUGAAUCAAACGCCGCAGAUAACUACUAUUACUCCUGGGAAUUUAGUAGUAUCUUCAAUAAAAGCUUAAUUGAGGCCAUGAAAGCUUACCUCGGAAGGUGUGGGAAGAGCGUUCUGCUGCCUC